AAACCGUUCAGGGGUAAACCUGUGAAACCCAAAAGAUCGAAUGAGGAGAUUCAUCGUCAGCGUAUUCAGUAUUAAUGCAGACUAUGAUGUGAUAAUAGAAUCCUCGUGGUUACUAGAUUAUACUUGCUUGUAUUAUUUUUGCUGGAUAUGUCGGCGUGCACUUCUCCUCUAGUAGAACGUCGCAACCCGUUGGAUGUUUAUCUAUGGCCUGAUUGGUAGCCUUUGAUAUAUUUAUUAUAUUGAAAACCUUUUGGUGUCCUGAUAAACUGUCUGACGGUAUACAUAUAUAGUAUUGAGCCGCAAUUAUUUGCGUUAGACUUGCUGCAAGU
RNAcentral lists this ribosomal RNA (329 nucleotides) under Apanteles sp. Rodriguez34. RNAcentral describes it as "partial 28S ribosomal RNA". The record is from RNAcentral. Lineage: Eukaryota; Metazoa; Arthropoda; Insecta; Hymenoptera; Braconidae.